RNAcentral lists this long non-coding RNA (474 nucleotides) under Panthera leo (lion). Its description in RNAcentral is "lncRNA (ENSPLOG00000005545.1)". The record is from RNAcentral. Lineage: Eukaryota; Metazoa; Chordata; Mammalia; Carnivora; Felidae.
AUGCCAGGGAUCCAUCAUGGCAUGGGUCUUUGCAAAAGGAUUCGUCACUGGGCUUCAUCAUCCAGAAAACUUUUAAGGACCGCGUGCCAACAUGCCAGAUCUUGGCUCCUUCACAAGGAAAGCUGGGCGGCGCCCCGGAGAGCCCACGCCCCCUUGCACAGAAACCAUGGAAUUUCCCCAGCACGUUGUCUUUGGCAACUCCAAUGCCACAGGAAGGUCAGGACUGGUGAGACACGGAGAGAAUGCAAGGGAGGAAGUGCUGGUCCUGCCUAUGCUGCCGGGGGCCCCUCCCAGGAGGACAGGACAGCUCGUGUCUCCACAAACAGGACCCUGACACGAGCGGGAGCGUCUCCGCGGCAGGUUACUCUCAGAGGGUGUUUCCAUGGAUUCUGCUUGGUGCCCGCCUGCCUGAGGACAGCCCCACCCCUGCCUUUCUGCCUGGUGGUAAAGACCUUUUCUACUCCUUUUUUCUGA